GAUAUAUAUUUUUUAUUUUAUGGUUCCAUUGUCUUAGAGGAGGAGGCGUCCAUUUUCAAAGGCUCCACCAAGGUAUCCGAAGGCUAUUUCAUGUACCCUCUACGAUUUGCGUAUAGCGAAGGUAGUCUUUUAAAGAUUUUCACGGACUCCAACUUCAAAAUCUCGUUCGAUGCUUCAGGUUCGAAUGUGCCUUCAUUUGAAGCCUAUUCCUCCCAGUCUCCGCUCACCAGCGUCAACACAGCAACAUCAUCUUCAUCAGGAACUGUUUAUUAUUAUUCAAAUAAGAAACAAUAUACACUGACAAACGGACUGUUGACCGCGUUUUGUCCAGCAUAAUGAUUUUUACAACGGAACUACUAGAAUAUGCAGGGACAUUUACAUAAUUUUAUAAAUUUUUCACAUACUAUAUAUGUCGACAUACGUACAUACAUUUCACUCUUCCAUUUAUUUAUCUUUCCUCUCUCCCUCUUUCUCUGACAAUCUUUCUAUAUAUCUCUCUA
This is a long non-coding RNA of Octopus sinensis (East Asian common octopus), 500 nucleotides long. RefSeq lists it as uncharacterized. Lineage: Eukaryota; Metazoa; Mollusca; Cephalopoda; Octopoda; Octopodidae. The transcript has 3 exons. The record is from RefSeq and is a predicted model, not a curated record.